CCCAAAUUACUUAUUUGUGCCAAAUAUUAGGUUGGCCCAAACCUACAAAAAUGAAAGGAUGAUACAUGAACAAGAAAAACAAACAACAAUCUAAAAGUUCAUAAAUAUUCUAUCAGAUGUUCGGAAUAAGACUCUUCAAGACGACGAUAUCUGCUUAAAGUUAAAACCAAUAAGCUAACUAGCUAACUAGUUAGGGAUUGGGCUAACUCAUGACUCAUCCUAAAUGUGUAAAUCCAUGUGGC
RNAcentral lists this long non-coding RNA (242 nucleotides) under Elaeis guineensis (African oil palm). RNAcentral describes it as "long non-coding RNA (EGUI_LNC012718)". Lineage: Eukaryota; Viridiplantae; Streptophyta; Magnoliopsida; Arecales; Arecaceae. The record is from RNAcentral.